CGGAUUUCAUAUGCAUACUUCUAUGGGUGUUCCACGCCAGCCGAGCAAGUGCCAUUGAGAUGACUGGGAAUGCAGACGGAUAGGUUCUCCAGGAGCAGGAUUACCUUGUUUCUAGGAAGCCAGCAAUGUUUUAGACUUAAUCCAGCUUUCCCCAAGAACACUUCAUAGAGGUCAUAAGCCGAUUCCUUCGGCCACUAUGUGGGAAGCUGUAAAAGUAAACAAGCUCAUUGGCCCACAUGUAAAUGCUUUACCGGACGGACACAAUUGAACUCUCUGUGGUGGACUCCAACAGCACAGGGAAAUAAGGAAGUAAGCAAUAGGAACAUUAGCAAGAAAGGCCAGUCGUGGGGACUGCAGCUCAAAGAGCGACGGGAAAUAAUGGCUUUCUUGUGAAGUGUAGGCUUCUAUUUUUAAAGUCUGAUUGGACGCGAGAUGACUGAGCUUCAUACGUCACAGAUGGAAUCAGAGGGCCAGAAUAACCUUCCAUAUCAAUGAUUAGAUUACCGCAACCAGCCCAACAGCGGAUACAGGUGAAAUGUCAGUGUGCCACGCAGCCCCCGUGUAUUGCUUUUCUCAAGAGCUGUGUUCUGAUUAAAUUAGCCUAACGUGGGAAGUUGCUAAUCCGAGCCAAACCAGGAUUAAGCCUGCAGGCUACCAAGAGUACAUGGGAGAAUGUGUGUUUGAGUGUGGGCCGCUAAGUGGGUGGUGGAUAACGAGGGUUUUCGGAGAACAAAUAAACCUUGCAGAACAUGAGGCCAACAAAGAUUCUCCUGUAAUUCCAUUUUGUCUUAAUUCAUCAUGUGAUGUCUUGUAUAAAAUCAAAUGAAAUGUGUAUUAAUAACAAGCAAUACACGCUUAAUUUGCAUUGGAAUUUGGCUGAAGUGUUGAGUGAAUUCUGUAGCACUCGGUUUCCAUAAAGAAGUGCUUACGAGAACUUUUUCAUUUAUAAUGUGGUCAAGCGCUGCAGGUGGCUACUUAUGCAAGACUAUACAAAUGAGAUAUGC
Molecule: long non-coding RNA, 1004 nt
Organism: Cyprinus carpio carpio
Lineage: Eukaryota; Metazoa; Chordata; Actinopteri; Cypriniformes; Cyprinidae
Source: Ensembl